This 378-nucleotide ribosomal RNA is filed under the name Ips cribricollis. RNAcentral describes it as "partial 16S ribosomal RNA". Lineage: Eukaryota; Metazoa; Arthropoda; Insecta; Coleoptera; Curculionidae. The record is from RNAcentral.
CUUUUUCUUCGAUUAGAACUCUAAGAAAAAAUUACGCUGUUAUCCCUAAGGUAAUUUUUCUUUUAAUCUUUAAAAAAGGAUCAUAAUAUUCUUCCAAUCACUUAUUUAUGAAAUUUAAUAAAAAAAGUUAAAUAAAUUUUUCAAUCACCCCAAUCAAAUAUCCUUACCUUAAAAUAUACUUUCCUUUUAUUAAAAUUUUUAAGAAUAGGCUAUUAAACUCUAUAGGGUCUUCUCGUCUUUUAUAAAAAUUUAAGCUUUUUAACUUAAAAAUAAAAUUCAAAAAUUUAAAAUUGAGACAGUUAUUUUUUCAUCAAACCUUUCAUUCCAGCUUUCAAUUAAAAAACUAAUGAUUAUGCUACCUUAGCACAGUCAAAAUAC